This 1357-nucleotide long non-coding RNA is filed under the name Callithrix jacchus (white-tufted-ear marmoset). RNAcentral describes it as "lncRNA (ENSCJAG00000076413.1)". Lineage: Eukaryota; Metazoa; Chordata; Mammalia; Primates; Cebidae. The record is from RNAcentral.
UGUGGACAACAAAGAAUGAAUGUCACUUGCUCCCUCAGAGACCAGCCAGGAAGGAUGAAACGGCUUCACUUGACCCUGGGCCUCUUCGUGCUCAUAGCCUGCUUCUUGACAACUAGAACCCAAGAGGGACAAAAUGGGCUGAAAAACAAGACUACAGGUGAAUCCAUCUGCACUAGCAUCAUCUUCACUUCAAUAUGCACCAUCCUUGGGGAGAAGUCAGAUACGUAUUCAGCUAAAUUCACCUUCUCAACAAGGACCUAGGGGCUCUCGUGCCCAUUUAAAUCCCUCUGGCCCAAAGAGAUCUGCAAAGAUAAAAUCUAGUCAAACCUCUGCCUUACAACAACCCCAAAAUUAUCUGAAUUUAUCAGUUAAACCAAAAUCUAGCAUCACUGUAACAGAGGCAGGUAAACCCACUUCAAAAGUUAAUUAAAAGUAGUACACUCCUCACAGCUAACCACAUUCAUCCAAAAUCUGAUCAACCCAAAUUUCCUUCAUCUCAAAAUAACAUUCAACCCAAAACUUAUUAAAUAACCCAUAAACAUUUAGCCAAUCAAAAUCUUGGUCAAAAACAUAUGAACAAAAUAAAUGGACAAAAGAUCAGCAUGUUAUAAUGGGAAAUUACCUAAAUGGGACUAAAAAACAAACAUUAGGUACACAGAAAGCAACCAGUAAAUCAAAACUUCAAAAAAGUAAAACCAUAAAGCAACCACUCAGUAGUCAAAUGAAAACUCCUGUACAAAAACAAACUAACCAAAGUUAAUACAAUUUCAGUAAUUCUCAAACACAACAAACCCAUUUUCAAAGCCUAAGGCAAAAUCUAGUGGACAAAACUAAACUAAACAGAAAAAACAACAAACAAGUAAGCUGAGAGCUAAAAAUUUAGGCUGCACAAUCUACAACUUGGCCGAUUAAAACCUGACCCGAUACCUCUUGAACAAAAAAGUGGCCACAACCCCAAAAUUGUACAAAAUUAACAGCUCACAAAAAAUCUAGCAUUUCUAAAAUGACUUCAGUUAAAAUAUCUAAAAAAUUACCACAGAAAUCUAAAUCACCCACAAGUACUAUUAUUCAACAGACACAAGCCAAACUCAAACAUCUUUAUCUCCAAAUGCAAAAAACAAUAAUCAACAACAAGCAAAACUACAGAUAUUAAGCCAAAAGAAAAUAUCCAGCCAACCAAAACUCAAGAAGAAAACAAUUAUUUAACAGCAAUCACAUCAAAUAAAAAACUUCAUAUGACAGCAAAAUUAACAGAGAAAACAUCAUUUCAACACAACUGAAAAGAAAAAGAUUAGAUACUCUAAACUGAAAAUAAAAGCAAAUGAACAAAAAAGGUUAGUGAAAGCCAAGUAUGGAC